UACGGAGGGUGCGAGCGUUGUCCGGAAUCACUGGGCGUAAAGGGCGCGUAAGCGGCCUGAUAAGUAGGGGGUGAAAUCCUGCGGCUUAACCGCAGGGCUGCCUUCUAAACUGUCGGGCUAGAGCACGGUAGAGGCAGAUGGAAUUCCCGGUGUAGCGGUGGAAUGCGUAGAGAUCGGGAAGAACAUCAGUGGCGAAGGCGGUCUGCUGGGCCGUUGCUGACGCUGAGGCGCGACAGCGUGGGGAGCGAACAGG
This 253-nucleotide ribosomal RNA is filed under the name uncultured bacterium. RNAcentral's name for it is "partial 16S ribosomal RNA". It matches the Rfam family "Bacterial small subunit ribosomal RNA", at positions 524 to 776 of the family's 1533-position model. The record is from RNAcentral.